RNAcentral lists this ribosomal RNA (492 nucleotides) under uncultured bacterium. Its description in RNAcentral is "partial 16S ribosomal RNA". It matches the Rfam family "Bacterial small subunit ribosomal RNA", at positions 29 to 507 of the family's 1533-position model. The record is from RNAcentral.
AGUGAACGCUGGCGGUAGGCCUAACACAUGCAAGUCGAACGGCAGCACAGUAAGAGCUUGCUCUUACGGGUGGCGAGUGGCGGACGGGUGAGGAAUACAUCGGAAUCUACUUUUUCGUGGGGGAUAACGUAGGGAAACUUACGCUAAUACCGCAUACGACCUACGGGUGAAAGCAGGGGAUCUUCGGACCUUGCGCGAUUGAAUGAGCCGAUGUCGGAUUAGCUAGUUGGCGGGGUAAAGGCCCACCAAGGCGACGAUCCGUAGCUGGUCUGAGAGGAUGUGAUCAGCCACUGUAACUGAGACACGCGCCCGACACCCACGGGAGAGGCCGGUGUGGAAUAUUUGAGAAAAGGGGCACACCUGUUACAGCGAUACCCCGUGUGUGAAGAGGAGCCCCGGGGUUUAAAGCCCUUUUGUGUGGAAAGAGAAAAAGCAGAGUUAAACCCCGCGGUGCUGUCGGGACCCAAAGAGUAAGCACCCGCUCUCUCCUUG